UGUUACAACACCACGGCACCUAAAAAAAAAUGCCACCACCUAAACAGAAAGGUCUAAACACUUAAAUCACCCCCAUAAAAAAAAGGGGAUGUCUCCACCAAUCGUAAAAGCCAAAAGCAAUAGGCUCAAUAUUUGAAGAAAGCCAGAGAAAAGAAUUUAACUUAACUUUUUCGACAAUAUGUAACGGAUCAAUAACCGUAUCAUUGAAAACACAGUUGUUUCG
RNAcentral lists this long non-coding RNA (223 nucleotides) under Medicago truncatula (barrel medic). RNAcentral describes it as "long non-coding RNA (MTRU_LNC007050)". Lineage: Eukaryota; Viridiplantae; Streptophyta; Magnoliopsida; Fabales; Fabaceae. The record is from RNAcentral.